GUUAGGAAUCUUCCACAAUGGGGGCAACCCUGAUGGAGCAACACCGCGUGCUGGAUGAAGGCCUUCGGGUCGUAAACAGCUUUUGUAUACGAAGAAUAUGACGGUAAUAUACGAAUAAGGGUCGGCUAACUACGUGCCAGCAGCCGCGGUCAUACGUAGGACCCAAGCGUUAUCCGGAGUGACUGGGCGUAAAGAGUUGCGUAGGCGGCUUAUUAAGCGAGUAGUGAAAUCUGGUGGCUCAACCAUCAACACAUUGCUCGAACUGAUAGGCUUGAGAAUGGUAGAGGGAGUUGGAAUUUCUUGUGUAGGAGUGAAAUCCGUAGAUAUAAGAAGGAACACCAAUGGCGUAGGCAGACUACUGGACCAUUUCUGACGCUGAGGCACGAAAGCGUGGGGAGCGAACCGGAUUAGAUACCCUUGUAGUCC
Molecule: ribosomal RNA, 426 nt
Filed under: uncultured bacterium
Lineage: Bacteria
Description: partial 16S ribosomal RNA
Rfam family: Bacterial small subunit ribosomal RNA
Source: RNAcentral